CCUACGGGCGGCAGCAGUAAGGAAUAUUGGUCAAUGGACGCAAGUCUGAACCAGCCAUGCCGCGUGGAGGAUGAAGGUCCUCUGGAUGGUAAACUGCUUUUAUUUGGGAAGAAACUCCCGAUUUCCAUCGGGAUUGACGGUACCAGAUGAAUAAGCACCGGCUAACUCCGUGCCAGCAGCCGCGGUAAUACGGAGGGUGCAAGCGUUACUGGGAUUCACGGGGGUGUAAGGGUGCGGGGGAGGGCGUGUAGAAAUCUCCGGGCUUAACCCGGCAACUGCCAUUGAUACUAUUUGUCUUGAAUACUCUGGAGGUGAGCGGAAUAUGUCAUGUAGCGGUGAAAUGCUUAGAUAUGACAUAGAACACCCAUUGCGAAGGCAGCUCACUACGGAAAUAUUGACGCUGAGGCACGAAAGCGUGGGGAUCAAACAGGAUUAGAUACCCCGGUAGUC
Molecule: ribosomal RNA, 450 nt
Filed under: uncultured bacterium
Lineage: Bacteria
Description: partial 16S ribosomal RNA
Rfam family: Bacterial small subunit ribosomal RNA
Source: RNAcentral